UGGGGAAUUUUGGACAAUGAGGGCAACCCUGAUCCAGCAAUGCCGCGUGUGUGAAGAAGGCCUUCGGGUUGUAAAGCACUUUUGUCCGGGAAGAAAUCGCACCUGAUAAUACCGGGUGUGGAUGACGGUACCGGAAGAAUAAGGACCGGCUAACUACGUGCCAGCAGCCGCGGUAAUACGUAGGGUCCAAGCGUUAAUCGGAAUUACUGGGCGUAAAGCGUGCGCAGGCGGUUGUGCAAGACCGAUGUGAAAUCCCCGGGCUUAACCUGGGAAUGGCAUUGGUGACUGCACAGCUAGAGUGUGUCAGAGGGGGGUAGAAUUCCACGGGUAGCAGUGAAAUGCGUAGAGAUGAGGAGGAAGACCGAUGGCGAAGGCAGCCCCCUGGGAUAACACUGACGGUCACGCACGAAAGCGUGGGGAGCAAACAGG
Molecule: ribosomal RNA, 429 nt
Filed under: Bacillota bacterium
Lineage: Bacteria; Bacillati; Bacillota
Description: Firmicutes bacterium partial 16S ribosomal RNA
Rfam family: Bacterial small subunit ribosomal RNA
Source: RNAcentral